This 745-nucleotide unclassified non-coding RNA is filed under the name Hevea brasiliensis (rubber tree). The record is from RNAcentral. Lineage: Eukaryota; Viridiplantae; Streptophyta; Magnoliopsida; Malpighiales; Euphorbiaceae.
UAAGGAAGAGGAGAUGCUUAAGGUACAAAAUCGGCAUGAGCAGUUAUAAUUUGACUUACCCUUAUGUGUGAUCCAUUAUGUUGCUCCACAGUCAGCAAUAUAAGAGCAAAAUUUUACAUUUUUACUAUAAGCUCAUCAGAGUAGUUAUGUUCAUGUGUGUAGUUUGAGAGAGAAGUAUUAAUUUGCUUUGCAGUACAUCUGAUCUUUGAAACUUGUUAGUGCCAUAUUAUGUUUUUUAUGGUUUUGGCUUUCAAGAUAAAGAAAAAUUCAAAACAGAUCCCGUGGUAUAUUGUUUUUCAUUUUGGAAUCUGUGAUUUUUCCUUUUUUGGUACCAAUGAUGUACCAGAGAUUUUCAUCCUUUUUACUUGAAUAUCAUUGUUGGAUGAUGCUAUUCAAAUUGCACUCUUAUUAGUACCUGUGUGGUAUAUAAAAAUUAAAAUAACUCUUUAUAUAGAAUUACUAUUUUUGUAUACUCCUAGAAAAUAAAAAACAUUUGUACAUAAUUUUUCGUUUUUUCAUAAAAUCAGGAGGAGGAUUGUCAACAUUGCACCGAUGAGUCACCACAUGAUCAUCCAUCUAGAUUCGACGCGGAUGAUUUUCAAAAAUUUUUUUGUUUUGCCACAUUGUUGCUGUUUAAGGAUGAUUUUACUGACAUCAAUCUAAAACAGUAGCACUAAAGCAAUAAGGAUGAAAACCUCUAGUAUUGAGCUGAUACCGAGAAAAAGAGAAAAAAAUUGUAGCCCCG